Molecule: ribosomal RNA, 497 nt
Filed under: uncultured bacterium
Lineage: Bacteria
Description: partial 16S ribosomal RNA
Rfam family: Bacterial small subunit ribosomal RNA
Source: RNAcentral
AAUGAACGCUGGCGGCGGGCCUAAUACAUGCAAGUCGAGCGAACAGACGAGGAUCUUGCUUCUCUGACGUUAGCGGCGGACGGGUGAUUCACACGUGGAUAACCUACCUAUAAGACUGGGGUAACUUCGGGAAACCUGAUCUAAUACCGGAUAAUAUAUUGAACCGCAUGGUUCUAUAGUCAAAGACGGUUUUGCUGUCACUAAUAGAUGGAUCCGCGCCGCAUUAGCUAGUUGGUAAGGUAACGGCUUACCAAGGCUACGAUGCGUAGCCGACCUGAGAGGGUGAUCGGCCACACUGGAACUGAGACACGGUCCAGACUCCUACGGGAGGCAGCAGUAGGGAAUCUUCCGCAAUGGGCGAAAGCCUGACGGAGCAACGCCGCGUGAGUGAUGAAGGUCUUCGGAUCGUAAAACUCUGUUAUUAGGGAAGAACAAAUGUGUAAGUAACUAUGCACGUCUUGACGGUACCUAAUCAGAAAGCCACGGCUAACUACGUG